GGGGACAGAAGGAGGGGACACAGGGACACGGUGACAUGGGGACAGAGAGGGGACACACGGACACAGAGGGGACACAGGGACAUGGUGACACGGGGACAUGGGGACACAGAGGGCACACAGGGACACAGGGGGACAGAAGGACAGAGAGGGGACACAGACACGGAGAGGGGACACAGGGACACAGAGGUGACACAGGGACACAGAGGGGACACAGGGAUACACAGAGAGGGCACAGGGACACAAAGAGGGGAUGCAGGGACACAGAGGGAGGACAGAGGUGACACACAGGGACACAGAGGUGACACAGGGACAUGGAGAGGGGACACAGGGACACAGAGGUGACACAGGGACACGGAAAGAGGACAACAGGGACACACAGAGAGGGCACAGGGACACAGAGGUGACACAGGGACAUGGAGAGGGGACAGAGGGACAAACAGAGGGGACACAGGGACACAGAGGGGACACAGUGACACAGAGAGGGGACAGAGGGACACAGAGGGAGGACAGAGGGACACACAGAGGUGACACAGGGACACACAGAGGUGACACAGUGACACAGCAGUGACACAGUGACACAGAGAAGGGACACAGGGGGUCAGGGCGUGGCCGGGCAGCUCGGGGCUCCCCCCGGUCCCCCCGUACCUGCUGCAUCAGCUCCAGCAGGGUCUCGAAGCGCUGCCGCCGCUGCCCCUCGGGCUCCCC
Long non-coding RNA from Poecile atricapillus (Black-capped chickadee), 705 nucleotides. RefSeq lists it as uncharacterized. NCBI's taxonomy places the organism in Eukaryota, Metazoa, Chordata, Aves, Passeriformes, Paridae. The record is from RefSeq and is a predicted model, not a curated record. The transcript is spliced from 3 exons.